AGAAUCAACGCUGGCGGCGUGCCUAACACAUGCAAGUCGAACGAGAAAGUGGAGCAAUCCAUGAGUAAAGUGGCGCACGGGUGAGUAACACGUGACUAACCUACCCUCGAGUGGGGAAUAACUUCGGGAAACCGAGGCUAAUACCGCAUAAAAACCUAAGGGUCAAAGGAGCAAUCCGUUUGAGGAGGGGGUCGCGGCAGAUUAGUUAGUUGGCGGGGUAAUGGCCCACCAAGACGAUGAUCUGUAUCCGGCCUGAGAGGGCGCACGGACACACUGGAACUGAAACACGGUCCAGACUCCUACGGGAGGCAGCAGUGGGGAAUUUGCGCAAUGGGGGAAACCCUGACGCAGCAACGCCGCGUGGAGGAUGAAAUCCCUUGGGAUGUAAACUCCUUUCGAUCGGGAAGAUAAUGACGGUACGGAAGAAGAAGCCCGGCUAACUUCGCGCCAGCAGCCGC
Molecule: ribosomal RNA, 458 nt
Filed under: uncultured bacterium
Lineage: Bacteria
Description: SSU rRNA
Rfam family: Bacterial small subunit ribosomal RNA
Source: RNAcentral